AUCUAUUGGACCUAGCAUAUGUAAAACAAUAAAAGCAUGUGAGAUCCAGCCAGCCGAUACAAUCAGAUAACUGGUGAACGCUUAAACAAGAUUAAGGAGCCGAUGAAGACAACCUAACCAGAUCUAAGCCGUUCGAUAACUGCGAGCACUUGAUAAAACUAAGAGAUCGAAAUGACGCAACUUAAUAAAACCAAACAACUCAAUACCUAUGAGCAACGUCGAAGACAAGCAGAAUAUUGGACAAAGUCUCGAAAGUUUUACUUGCAAUCUAAUACAACUCGAUAACUAGCCACACAACGGAAUAUCAGAAUAUAAGACUUAACUUAGAAAGUUCUGAUAGGGUGACGGUACUAACAAGCUCGCCUGAGAUUGAAGCUGAUGCAAUUGUGCAUGUAGGAAGGAACUCAUCGAAACUACUUUACUCUUACUCCUACGGUUUUGGCGGGGUGGUGCCGAAAGUUUGGAUUGAUUGAUUGAUGAUUAUUCAUUACAAGGCUCAUGGGUUUAUAUUUAUACCCUGGCGCAAGCUAAAAUCCUCGUCGAUUACAACAUGAACUAUUACAAACUAAUUAAAACUACUAACGAUACUCCUCCACGCUUUCCCUUAUUUGGUGGAGUUGAUUUCACUUAGGAUCGAACCUCCUC
Molecule: long non-coding RNA, 645 nt
Filed under: Setaria viridis
Lineage: Eukaryota; Viridiplantae; Streptophyta; Magnoliopsida; Poales; Poaceae
Description: long non-coding RNA (SVIR_LNC007699)
Source: RNAcentral